GACGAACGCUGGCGGCGUGCCUAACACAUGCAAGUCGAACGGGGUUGAGUGCUUCGGUAUUCAACUUAGUGGCGAACGGGUGAGUAACGCGUGAAGAACCUGCCUUUCAGUGGGGGACAACAGUUGGAAACGACUGCUAAUACCGCAUAACACUGAUGAGGGGCAUCCCUUAUCAGUCAAAGCUUUAUGUGCUGAAAGAUGGCUUCGCGUCUGAUUAGCUUGUUGGCGGGGUAACGCCCACCAAGGCGACGAUCAGUAGCCGGUCUGAGAGGAUGAACGGCCACAUUGGGACUGAGAUACGGCCCAGACUCCUACGGGAGGCAGC
RNAcentral lists this ribosomal RNA (325 nucleotides) under uncultured bacterium. Its description in RNAcentral is "bacterial SSU rRNA". It matches the Rfam family "Bacterial small subunit ribosomal RNA", at positions 28 to 352 of the family's 1533-position model. The record is from RNAcentral.